GUACGUACAGCGAGAGUUCUUGUUUUGCUGCACCACUUUGAGGUGUUGUAGUGGUGGGAGUAAGGAGUUUAGUGAGGUCCUGGACUUGAUUUCCGUGAACUAAUGGGUAGGAGUUCUUUAGCAAGGGAAGAAAAAAUUCCAUAUUGUCUGAAGACUUGCUAGCAAAUAGGGAGUAAUUGAAGAAAUACACUUGAACACAUCACUACUGAAAUGAGAGGAGAUAAAUGAACCGUUUACCUUUAAGAGGCUAUUAAAGAAAAUAAAAUUGUUCUCAGUGAGAGAGAAGGAAGCAUCCAGGAAAACUGCUGAAAGUUUUGAGGAAACCCUGCGUACUUACAUUGGAACGAAAAUGAGAAGUUUGGCUGCUAAGGUGAAGGCAUUGAAAGAAGUCAGGCACACAAGGAAGAACAGUUGUUUUGGGGAGCAGCUCUCAGAAGCCAUAAAAGUGGUCACAGAAGGAUGUCUCACUGUUCCGUGUUCCUUGGAAAAAUUGCAGAAGAUUUGGACAGAGUAUGACUUGGCUCAAGA
This 528-nucleotide long non-coding RNA is filed under the name Aquila chrysaetos chrysaetos. RNAcentral's name for it is "lncRNA (ENSACCG00020008739.1)". The record is from RNAcentral. Lineage: Eukaryota; Metazoa; Chordata; Aves; Accipitriformes; Accipitridae.